Molecule: non-coding RNA, 205 nt
Organism: Salvia hispanica
Lineage: Eukaryota; Viridiplantae; Streptophyta; Magnoliopsida; Lamiales; Lamiaceae
Source: RefSeq, a predicted model, not a curated record
CUCAUCUACAUGAAAGAAGAUUACAGUGGCAGCAAAGACAAAGCAGAUUAAUAACAAAUAUUCAAUAGAUUCUGAUGUACAAAAAAAAGGAUACUCUUGGAAGCAAAAGGAAGAAGAUACAUAUAAACUCUAAUGAGGUACUGAUGUACAAAAAAAAGAUACACAUGGAAGCAAUAGGAAGCAUCUACAUAUAAAUACUAAUAAG